This 772-nucleotide ribosomal RNA is filed under the name uncultured Acaulosporaceae. RNAcentral's name for it is "eukaryotic LSU rRNA". It matches the Rfam family "Eukaryotic large subunit ribosomal RNA", at positions 11 to 694 of the family's 3401-position model. The record is from RNAcentral. Lineage: Eukaryota; Fungi; Glomeromycota; Glomeromycetes; Diversisporales; Acaulosporaceae.
GUCAAGUAAGAAUACCCGCUGAACUUAAGCAUAUCAAUAAGCGGAGGAAAAGAAACUAACUAGGAUUCCCUUAGUAACGGCGAGUGAACUGGGAAGAGCUCAAAUUUUAAAUCACCUUUUGGUGAAUUGUAAUUUGAAGAAAGUGUUUUGACUUUUCAGUUUAAUCUAAAUCCUUUGGGAUGAGGUAUCAUAGAGGGUGAGAAUCCCGUUCCUGAUUAGACCUCGAAUUGCAUUAAUUCACUUUCCAAGAGUCGAGUUGUUUGGGAUUGCAGCUCAAAAUGGGUGGUAAAUUUCACCUAAGGCUAAAUAUAUGCAAGAGACCGAUAGCGAACAAGUACCGUGAGGGAAAGAUGAAAAGAACUUUGAAAAGAGAGUUAAACAGUACGUGAAAUUGUUGAAAGGGAAACGAUUGAAGUCAGUCAUGCUAGUGAGAAAUCAGCAAGGUGGUUUACUUCCUUGUGUACUUUCUUUCAGCAGGUUAGCAUCAAUUUUGGUUGUCAUCAAAUAAUUGGGGGAAUGUGGCUUCUCUUCGGUGAAGUGUUUAUAGACCCUGGUAGAUGUGGCGACUGGGAUUGAGGAUUGCAGCGGAUGCCUUUGGCUAGUCACCUAUCUUCUGACUGUUACCUCGCUUUUGACAGCUUGCUGAUGAUCGUGGGAUUUGAUGGUUUAGAAGGUUAGAGUGUAUAUAAAUUCGCUAAGGAUGCUGACGUAAUGGCUUUAAACGACCCGUCUUGAAACACGGACCAAGGAGUCUAACAUAUGUGCGAGUGUU